CUUGGAAAAUUGUAUUUUUCUAAGAAUUUGUCCAUUUCUUCUAGGUUUUCUGUUUUAUUGGCGUGUAGUUGCAUAUAGUAGUCUCUUAUGAUCCUUUGUAUUUCUGUGAUGUCCAUUGUUACUUCUCCUUUUUCAUUUCUAAUUUUAUUGAUUUGAGUCCUCUCUCUUUUUUGCUGGAUAAGUCUGGCUAGCAGUUUAACAAUUUUGUUGAUCUUUUCAAAGAACCAGCUUUUCGUUUCAUUGAUCUUUUCUAUGGUUUUCCAUGUUUCUAUUUCAUUGAUUUCUGCUCUGAUCUUUAUGAUGUCUUUCCUUCUACUAACGUUAGGUCUUGUCUGUCCCUCUCUCUUGAGCUGCUUUAGAUGUAAAUUUAGGUUGUUUAUUUGAGCUUUUUCUUGUUUCCUGAGGUGGGCUUGUAUUGCUAUAAACUUUCCUCUUAGAACUGCUUUUGUUGCAUCCCAUAGGUUUUGGAGUGUCGUAUCUUCGGUGUCAUUUGCUGCUAGGUAUUUUUUAAUUUCCUCUUUGACUUCUUCAGUGAUCCAUUGGUUGUUUAGUAGCAUGUUGUUUAGUCUCCACAUGUUUGUGUUUUUUGCAGUUUUUUUCUUGUUGUUGAUUUCCAGUCGUACAGCAUUGUGGUUAGAAAAGAUGCUUGAUAUGAUUUCAAUUUUCUUCAAGUUACUGAGGUUGGAUUUGUAGCCCAGGAUGUGAUCAAUCUUAGAGAAUGUUCCAUGUGCACUUGAGAAGAAUGUGUAUUCUGUUGCUUUUGCAUGGAAUAUCCUAUAAAUAUCUAUUAAGUCCAUCUGGUUUAAUGUAUCAUUCAGGGCCUGUGUUUCCUUGUUGAUUUUCUGUCUGGUUUAUCUGUCUAUUGUUGUAAGUGAGGUGUUGAAGUCCCCCACUAUGAUUGUGUUAUUGUUGAUUUGUCCUUUUAUGGUUGUUAGCUGUUGCCUUAUAUAUGGUGGUGAACCUAUGUUGGGUGUGUAGAUAUUUAAAAUUGUUAUAUCAUCUUCUUGGAUUGAUCCUUUGAUCAUUAUGUAAUGUCCUUCUUUGUCCCUGAAAAUAUUCUUCAUUUUAAAGUCUAUUUUGUCUGAUAUGAGUAUUGCUACUCCAGCUUUCUUUUGAUCCCCAUUUGCAUGAAAUAUUUUCUUCCAUCCUCUCACUUUCAAUUUGUAUGUGUCCCUAGAAGUGAAGUGGGUCUCUUGAAGACAGCAUAUAUAUGGGUCUUGUUUUUGUAUCCAUUCAGCCAGUGUAUGUCUUUUGGUUAGGGUGUUUAGUCCAUUCACAUUUAAGGUAAGUAUUGAUAUGUAUGUUCUUAUUGCCAUUUUUUAAUUCCUUUGGAUUUGUUUUUGUUGCUCUUUUUUCCUUCCUUCUUCUCUUAUUCCUUGUUUGUGUACCAGUUGUAGAUUUUUGGUGCACAGUUAUUCUGAUAUAAGAGUCUAUAUGUAUAUGAGAUUGUUUUAAGUUGUUGUUCCCUUAAUUGCAAGUUCAUCUCUGGUGUCCUGCAUUUGUACCCACCUCUUCUCAUGAUUUCUGAUUUUGGUGGUAUAAUUGCACAUGGAUGAUUUCGUAUCUUUGUAAAGCUGGUUUAGUGUUGCUGAAUUCUCUCAGGUUUUGCUUACCUGGAAGGUUUUGAUUUCUCCUUCAAAUUUGAAUGAGAGCCUUGCUGGGUAGAGUAUUCUUGGUUGGAGGUUUUUUCCUUUCAUCAUGUUAAGUAUAUCAUGCCACUCCCUUCUGGCCUGCAGAGUUUCUGUUGAAAAAUCUGCCGAUAGCCUUAUCAGGGUUCCCUUGUAUGUUAUUUGUUUCUUUUCCCUAGCUGCUUUCAAGAUUUUCUCUUUGUCUUGAAUUUUGGUCAGUUGGAUUAAUAUGUGUCUUGGGGUGUUCCUCCUUGGGUUUAUUUUAUAUGGUACUCAUUGUGCUUCCUGGAUUUGAGUGAGUGGUUCCUUCCCAAAGUUAGGGAAGUUUUUGGCUAUUAUCGCUUGAAAUAUUUUUUCUGUCUCCUCCUCUCUUCUCCUUAUGACACCCCUAUAAUACGGAUGUUGGUGCGUUUCACAUUGGCCCAGAGUUCUCUGAGAUCUCUUCACUUCUUUCCAAUCUUUUUUCUCUUUUCUGUUCCACAUCCAUAGUUUCUGCUAAUCUGUCCUCCACCUCACUUAUUCAUUCUUCUGCCUCCUGUAUUCUGCUGUUAGCUGCUUCUGGUUAAUUUUUUAUUUCAGUUAUUGUAUUUUGCAUCUCUUCUUGUUUAAGUUUUCUAUCUUGUAUCUCUUUGGUCAGUGUUUCCUGUAAGUUAUCCAUCUUUGCCUCCAGUUUAUUUCCAAUGUCUUGCAUCAUCUUCAGCAUCAACAGUCUAAAGUCUUUUUCCUGGAGGCUAAGAAUCUCCUCCUCACUUAGCUGAUUUUCUGGGGUUUUUCCUUUCUCCUUCAUUUGAGUUAUAGUUCUCUGUCUUUUCAUUUUUAUAGGUUUUUGGUGUGGUGACCUUUUUACAGAUAAUAGAGUUGUAACCUCUCUUACUUCCGGUGUCUGACCCUUGUGGCAGAAGUCGGUAUGGGGGCUUUCUGUAGGCUUCCUGAUGGGAGGGGCUGAUGCCUGCCCCCUGGUAGGUGGAGCUGAUUCUGAUCCCUCUGGUGGGUGGGGCUUAGUCUCUGGAUGGGAUUAGAGGCAGCUGUGUGCCUGAGGGGUCUUUAGGUAGCCUGUUUACUGAGGGGUGGGGCUGUGAUCCCACCUGGGUUGUUGUUUGCCCUGGGGCUUCUCAGCAGCUGACUGAUGGGUGGGACCAGAUUUUCCCAAAAUGGCCCCCUCCAGAGAAAGGCAGCUGCUGAAUAUUCCUGAGAGCUUUGCUUUCAAUGUCCUUCCCUCACAACAAGCCACAUUCACCCCUGUUUUCCCAGGAUGUCCUCCAAGAACUGCAUUCAGGUUUGACCCAGAUUCCUAUGGAGACUUUUCUUUGCCCUGGGACCCAUGCACAUGAAAGUCUGUGUGCACCUUUUAAGAAUGGGGUCUCUGUUUCCCCUAGUCCUGUGGAGCUCCUGAGCACAAGCCCCACUGGCCUUCAAUGCCAGAUGCUCCGGGGCUCUUUAUCCCUAUGCCAGAUCCCCACACAUGAGAGUUUGAUGUGUGGCUCAGAACUCUCACUCCUGUAGGUGAGUCUCUGUGAACCAUUUAGAUUCCAGUCUGUGCAGCUUCCCACCCAGGAGGUAUGGGGUUGUUUAUAUCAUGAAAUCACCCCUCCUACUUCUUGAUGUGUCCUCCUCUUUUUCUUCUAGAGUAGGGUGUCUUUUUUAAGAUUUCCAGUCCAUUUGGGUGGAGAUUGCUCAGCCUUUAGUUGUGAAUUUUGUUGUUUUUAUGAGAGAAGUGGACUCUAGUCCUUCUAUUCCACCAUCUUAAUCCUGU
RNAcentral lists this long non-coding RNA (3381 nucleotides) under Sus scrofa (pig). RNAcentral's name for it is "lncRNA (ENSSSCG00065018522.1)". The record is from RNAcentral. Lineage: Eukaryota; Metazoa; Chordata; Mammalia; Artiodactyla; Suidae.